Long non-coding RNA from Gadus macrocephalus (Pacific cod), 1638 nucleotides. RefSeq lists it as uncharacterized. The record is from RefSeq and is a predicted model, not a curated record. The transcript has 3 exons. NCBI's taxonomy places the organism in Eukaryota, Metazoa, Chordata, Actinopteri, Gadiformes, Gadidae.
CGCCAUUCAACGUGCACACGCAAUUCAGCUAGGCACGUCCCCGCCAGGAGACUGUCUGGACUCUGUCUGAAACUGAUAAAACACAACAUGGACUUUAACUCCCUCUAUAUUCGCCCCCCAUUAGAGAAAUACAACGAAAGGAUGGAUUUUACGUCUCGCUGGAAGCGCCGCCAUCACCCUAGCUUUACAGUCAACCAGAGUGACGAAACGAAAGUUUAUUGUCAGUCUACAAUUGUCAGCAGACAGUUCUUUAUGACCAGCUGGAGUCUUCCUUAUCCGAGUCAAAGAGCACCGAAACCUAGCCGAAGAUCUGGUCCUGCCUAGCCCAGGACUUGGCCCAGGACCUGACCCAGGCCUUGGCCCAUGGGAGCUGGUGGUGGUUGAGGAAGAGGAGGAAGAAGAUGUCCUGCUAGGUGUGGUGGUCCAAGAGGAGGUGUUGUUGCUAGGACUGAUGUAACAUGGAGCGCCACGAAGAGGAAGAGGAGGAAGAUGUCAGCGUGAAACUAGAAGAGGAGGAAGAUGUCACCUUGAAGCUGGAUGAUAAGGAAGAUGUUAGCGUUGAGAUAGAGAAGGAGGAAGAGGAGGAUGAGUAGGAGGAUGAGGAAGAUGUCAGCAUGGAGCUAGAUGAUGGGGAACCAUUGUGAGUGACAGGGAGGUCCCAGGAGACAGGAGGAGACUGAGGUGAGUAGGAUCUGCCCUUGACCCUGUCUGGCUUCCUGUUGCCUGGCAACAGAAGCAGAGAAGGCCAGGUUUGUCAUCACUGUACCGUCGACAACUCAAUUUAAAGCAGCCUGCCAUUUUAUUAUCGCCAGUGGAAACUUACUAGGUCUUAUCUUGUGUAUAUUAUGACUAAAUUGUAUUACUAUAAAUCAGUGCUGAGAUUCGACCCACAGUGAAAGGUGCUUAAAUUAUUUUACUACUAUUAUACUACACGUUUCAUCUUACGGCUAUGUAUGUAUUUUUGUCCCUAAAGCUGAAAGUGUGCACGAUUACUAUUCAAUCGCAACUAUUGAAACCCUAUGGUAUUUAGCCACUGAUAAGGUCUCCAUGAAGCGGGCGGUGGUUUCUCUGAUGCAUCCGACCACACCAGGCCCUCGUCCUCCUCUCUGUGUUGGAAGAGAAACUUGCGUAUGAAACAGUUGAACAGUACUGAACCAACAGACUGUGGCGUUGUUAUGCCUAGCAGAGUUUAGAAACACUGUGCCGCAGUGGUUUUUACCUCAGAUCCAUGCCUGUGGUUCUGAAUGUUGAGCCUUAGGGUGCUGGGUGCUAUGGAGAGGUGGGUACACGCAACACACACAAAUAAAUACUGAUAAAAUAUUUAAUCACUGCAAUCACUCUCAAUGUAUUGCUGCAGUCCACAUGAUAUAACCUGUACGAAAUAUGUACUAAAACGUGAUACAGCACAGCCCCUAAUAUGAUCGAGAACCUUAUAUUUGUUAUAAUUUGAUCAACUUGAGUGAGUAAAUGGUGCUAGUCUCCACCCUUAAACAUUACACAUUGUUAUACAUGAUUAAACAUUAAUGCUGUGGUUUAUUGUUCUUUUUUUCCUCAAGGUAUCUAUUGUCUCCAGCUCCUUUGCUUAUUUGUUUGUGAUCGUUAAUUUUUUCCAACACAAUAAAUAACUGUUGAGCAACA